RNAcentral lists this ribosomal RNA (443 nucleotides) under uncultured bacterium. Its description in RNAcentral is "partial 16S ribosomal RNA". It matches the Rfam family "Bacterial small subunit ribosomal RNA", at positions 338 to 795 of the family's 1533-position model. The record is from RNAcentral.
CCUACGGGAGGCAGCAGUGGGGAAUAUUGCACAAUGGGCGAAAGCCUGAUGCAGCAACGCCGCGUGAAGGAAGAAGGGUCUCGGCUCGUUAACUUCUAUCAACCGGGACGAAAGAAAUGACAGUACCUGAAUAAGAAGCCCCGGCUAACUACGUGCCAGCAGCCGCGGUAAUACGUAGGGGACAAGCGUUAUCCGGAAUUACUGGGUGUACAGGGUUAGUAGGCGGCAUGGUAAUCCAGAUGUGAAAGCCUUGGGUCUAACCCGAGGAUUGCAUUUGGAACUGCCAAGCUAGAGGACAGGAGAGGAAUGCGGAAUUCGCGGUGUAGCGGUGAAAUGCAUAGAUAUUAGGAAGAACUCCAAUUGCGAAGGCAGCAUUCUGGACCGAAACUGACGCUGAGGCACGAAAGCGUGGGGAUCGAACAGGAUUAGAUACCCGAGUAGUC